Molecule: long non-coding RNA, 466 nt
Organism: Protopterus annectens (West African lungfish)
Lineage: Eukaryota; Metazoa; Chordata; Ceratodontiformes; Protopteridae
Exons: 3
Source: RefSeq, a predicted model, not a curated record
AUACCAGGGUACAGGACACAGGGAAAUGAAGAGAAUACCAGGUACAGGACAUAGGGAAAUGAAGAGAAUACCAGGGUACAGGACAUAGCGAAAUGAAGAGAAUACAAGGUACAGGACACAGGGAAAUGAAGAGAAUACCAGGUACAGGACACAGGGAAAUGAAGAGAAUACCAGGGUACAGGACACAGGGAAAUGAAGAGAAUACCAGGGUACAGGACACAGGGAAAUGAAGAGAACACCAGGGUACAGGACACAGGAAAAUGAAGAGAAUACCAGGUACAGGACAUAGGGAAAUGAAGAGAAUACCAGGGUACAGGACAUAGGGAAAUGAAGAGAAUACCAGGAACAGGACAUAUGGAAAUGAAGAGAACACCAGGGUACAGGACACAGGGAAAUGAAGAGAAUACCAGGGUGCAGGACACAGGCAAAUGAAGAGAAUACCAGGUACAGGACACAGGGAAAUGAA